This 433-nucleotide ribosomal RNA is filed under the name uncultured bacterium. Its description in RNAcentral is "partial 16S ribosomal RNA". It matches the Rfam family "Bacterial small subunit ribosomal RNA", at positions 29 to 507 of the family's 1533-position model. The record is from RNAcentral.
AACGAACGCUGGCGGCAUGCCUAACACAUGCCAGUCGAACGAGACCUUCGGGUUUAGUGCCGCACGGGUGCGUAACGCGGGGGAACCUGCCCAUAGAUUUGCAUUAACGCCCCGGAAGGGGUCCUAAUACCGGAUAAAGUAUUCGGACCAAAGAUUGAUCGCCUUUGGAGGGGCUCGCGUUGGAUUAGUUGGUUGGGAGGGUAAAUGGCUACAACGGCGAGGAUCCAUAGCUGGUCUGAGAGGCUAGUCACCCACACUGGUACGGUGACACGGCCCAGACUACUAGAGGAGGCAGCAGUGGGGAAUACUGGACAGUGGGCGAUAGCAUGAUCCAGCAAUGCCGCGUAAGUGAUGAAGGCCUUAGGGUUGUAAAGCUCUUUUACCCGGUAUGAUAAUGACAGUACCGUGAGAAUAAGCACCGGCUAACUCCGUG